RNAcentral lists this long non-coding RNA (1027 nucleotides) under Homo sapiens (human). Its description in RNAcentral is "HSALNT0362535". Lineage: Eukaryota; Metazoa; Chordata; Mammalia; Primates; Hominidae. The record is from RNAcentral.
GUCAGUUUUACUGUUACUUCUUUUAAGUAAGUCAAAGAUGGUGUCGAAAAUGGUGAAAUCAAGAACUAGUGCUUAGAAUUAUGGAGAUUUAAAAACAGAAGAGACACCUCCCAGAGUUGCAAGUGGUCGCCUGUCCCAGAGAGCUGGUGAGAUGAGGUGGGGAGGUGGCAGCUGAGUUUUAUGGUGAGAAAGUGGAGUUCGAAGAUGUCAUCAGCCCAGGUCACACAGAUGGUGGAGACCAGUGUGGAGCCCGGGAGUGGGCUGAGCAGAGCAUCUGGACUUUGAGCUUCCAUCAGACCCUGAGAUAGUCACCUGUCCUGGCUGCCUGGUGACCCUGGUGUGCUAACGUGGCACUUAUCUUGCUCUAUGGAGGCCCCUGGGCCCCCUAAACACCAGGUGGGUGCCUUCAGCCAGCCCCAUACUGACCUGUGAAGCCCAGGUAUUGCUGGCCAACCCACCCCACUCACAGACAGAAGCAGUUCUCCAUCUUUUGGCUUUAGCAGAUCUGCUUCAUUUCUCCUCCCCACAAAGCCUGGACUUUGUUCUGGGGGUAUCCCUGUUUGCAGUGAAGCUUUUUCACUCAGUGCUCAAUCUGAGCCCAACUCCACCCCACAUCUCUGAUUCAUAGACUUUUGUGACUGCCUUGACCAGUAGAGUAUGGCAGAAGAUGCUCUGUAACUUCCCAGGCUAGAUCUAGAAAAUGCCACGCAUUUCUGCCUUGCUCUCCUGCGACAUCCACUCUUAGAACCCAGUUGCUGUGCUAAAAAGAACUCACAGACCACGUGGAGUGGAGCAGAUGGGUCAGUGUCCCAGGUGGCAGCCCGUGUCGGCCUCAGACCUGCACGUGAGGAUGCCCACCAGAGGGUUCCUGCCACCACCGUCAAGUCACCCCAGCCUUAAUCUUCCAGCCGGCGCCUCAGGCAUUAUGGGCAGAGGUAAACUGUCUCCAUGAUGCCCUUUCCAAAUUUCUGACCCACAGAAUCCAUGGCUAUAAUAAAAUGGCUGUCUUAUGUGCUCAAUUUUGGGG